CUUGUCGGGGUGCUCUUAAAGAGAGCUGAGAUCGGUUAAUCCGGGUCCCGUUGAACCUGAUCGAGUUAAUACUCGCGUAGGAAACAAGAUAAGU
This 94-nucleotide non-coding RNA is filed under the name uncultured Pseudomonas sp. RNAcentral describes it as "TPP riboswitch (THI element)". It matches the Rfam family "TPP riboswitch aptamer (THI element)", at positions 6 to 99 of the family's 105-position model. Rfam says of the family: Vitamin B(1) in its active form thiamin pyrophosphate (TPP) is an essential coenzyme that is synthesised by coupling of pyrimidine and thiazole moieties in bacteria. The previously detected thiamin-regulatory element, thi box was extended, resulting in a new, highly conserved RNA secondary structure, the THI element, which is widely distributed in eubacteria and also occurs in some archaea. The record is from RNAcentral. Lineage: Bacteria; Pseudomonadati; Pseudomonadota; Gammaproteobacteria; Pseudomonadales; Pseudomonadaceae.